RNAcentral lists this ribosomal RNA (264 nucleotides) under uncultured bacterium. RNAcentral describes it as "partial 16S ribosomal RNA". It matches the Rfam family "Bacterial small subunit ribosomal RNA", at positions 67 to 334 of the family's 1533-position model. The record is from RNAcentral.
CGGAAUUAACCCUCGGGUUAGUUUAGUGGCAAACGGGUGCGUAACGCGUAAGCAACCUGCCCUCAACUGGGGGAUAGCCCGGCGAAAGCUGGGGUAAACCCGCACGGUCCUUUGAAGUCACCUGACUUUUAAGGUAAACAUUGAUGGGUUGAGGAGGGGCUUGCGUCUGAUUAGCUAGUUGGCGGGGUAAGGGCCCACCAAGGCUUUGAUCAGUAGGGGUUCUGAGAGGAUUGGCCCCCACAUGGGUACUGAGAUACGGACCCA